AACGAACGCUGGCGGCGCGCCUAACACAUGCAAGUCGAACGAGAAUCCGGGGCAACCCGGUAGUAAAGUGGCAAACGGGUGAGGAAUACAUGGGUAACCUACCCUUGAGAAGGGAAUAACCCGCCGAAAGGUGAGCUAAUACCCUAUACGCUAUCUUUUUUUCGAAAAGGAUAGGAAAGCCGGGUCGAGGACCUGGUACUCAAGGAGGGGCUCAUGUCCUAUCAGCUUGUUGGUGGGGUAACGGCCUACCAAGGCUACGACGGGUAGCUGGUCUGAGAGGAUGAUCAGCCAUACUGGCACUGAGAUACGGGCCAGACUCCUACGGGAGGCAGCAGUGAGGAAUAUUGCGCAAUGGGCGAAAGCCUGACGCAGCGACGCCGCGUGGGGGAUGAAGGUUUUCGGAUUGUAAACCCCUUUCAUGAGGAAAGAUAAAGUGGGUAACCACUUAGACGGUACCUCAAGAAGAAGCCACGGCUAACUUCGUG
Molecule: ribosomal RNA, 485 nt
Filed under: uncultured bacterium
Lineage: Bacteria
Description: bacterial SSU rRNA
Rfam family: Bacterial small subunit ribosomal RNA
Source: RNAcentral